Molecule: long non-coding RNA, 5561 nt
Organism: Cavia porcellus (domestic guinea pig)
Lineage: Eukaryota; Metazoa; Chordata; Mammalia; Rodentia; Caviidae
Exons: 3
Source: RefSeq, a predicted model, not a curated record
CCACCUUGGCCUGCUGUGCACCUGGACCUGCCCUUGCCUGUGCCACAGCACAGACCACCCUCUGUCUGCCUCCCCAUGCAUGGCAAGUCUUUCUGAGGCACAGACACUGCCCCAUCACCGUUUCUUAAGCAUCAUUGAAAUUCAGCCCAGGAUACACUGGAUCCAAGGAGAAACACUGUGGCAGAAGGACAGCUGCUUAUUUCAUGGCGGUUGGGAAGAACAGAGGAACAGCACCAGAAAAAAGAAGAGGCCAGGGAUCAGACAUGGACCCCAAGGUCACACUUCCAUCGCUAACCCAGACACACCCACCGAUGUGCUUUGUUAAUUCUCCAGGGAGCUCCAAGCCAACCCAGUUGAUGCAGUGAAACUAACCCACCACAGAAGUGUUGAUAGUAGAGACCGGCCCUCAGCUUGCAAAAGUGAACACUCCGUGCUGCACCACCCCCUCCGUGGAGCAUGAGUCAGGCCCUCUCCCACCCCUUACAAAACAGUUUUAAAUGCUCUUUGGGAAAAAGAAACCUAGCAGCUCGGUACACUGUUAAAUUCUACGUAAGACUCAAAUGCGUCAUUUUUUACUUCCACGUUCAAAGUGAGUUUUUAAAUUUCUAGAUGUUUAAAUAAAAUAGGUUGUUGGGGGAUGAUUGACAACAGCAAAACGAAACCAAAAGCAAAACAAAAGGCCUAAAAACAACCUGAAUGUUCAUCAAUGGGGGAAAAAGUCAACAUAGCAAAUACCACAAAACAGAGGCCAUAUACGUAUGGGGAGGCGGCAAGACAUACUUUUUGUGUGUAUAGAGAAUAGAACCCAAGGCUUUCACACUGAGCUAUACCCCCAGUCCUUUUACUUUAUUUUGAGUCAGGGUUCACCUAGAUGCUAACCUGGGUUGUACUCAGACUUACCACCCUCCUGCCUCAGCCUCCCAGCUACUGGGGUUGCAGGCAUGCGCCACACAGGUGGCUUGUGACGCUGACAGUCAUGUGGCUCGUGCGUCAGCAUCUCUUGGCUGGCAUCUGUGAGCUGAUGCUCCUGCUGCAGGUUCUCAGAGGGCCCCACAGAGCCAGCAUCACCGCAGCACAUGUGCUCUGCAAUCUGCUGGCUGCCUGGCGCUCUGAGGGAGAGAUUGAACCUGGCCAACCAACCGCUGCCAUUUCACUGUGUACAGCUGGUGGGCCAAAAUUUCCUGAAGGUCAGAGAAGAAAGAGCGAAAAAGGGAGACUGUGGACAAUAGCAGUGAUGAUGGGGCUCUGAGGCCAAGAAAAGCCAGUUUCACCCUGGUACCCUGGGAGCCAACGCAUUUCAAAUUAUUUCAACCAAGUUGGAUUGAACUGACAGUUAUGUGUAGCUGAAAUCACCCGGAUGAAUACAUCUUGGGUUCUGAGAAAUAGCAUCUCAAUUCGGGGUCUUCUCAAUUUCCCUAAGACUGUACCUAUAUUCCCAAGUACCUAUGUAAGUUUGGGGACAUGAGGGUAGGUAUUUGAUUCUCGGUUAUCAUCAGUCCGCACUGGCAGCAAUCCGUCACUCAUCUGGUCCUCCGCUGAUGAGCCAUGCAGGUAGCUGUUGGCUCUCAUAUCUGAACGCUCUGUUUUCUUUCUCCUCCACUUUGCUCCCUCUUCAGGGCACCAUAGACAUUUUACUGCCUGGGUGUUACACUGAAAUCGUAGGAAACUUCAGAAGAUUUUCAAAGACUUGGUGUCUCCUGCAUCACUCCUGGGCCUUGGGUCAUUCUGCUGCUCCCUAUCAUACUGGGACUGGGGAAUUCCUGUAAGGCUGCCUAAAGGCCUGUUAUGUUUGGAAUCCAGUAUGUUCCCUCAACCCCAACAAUGCAUGGCAUUGAAGGCUUGGUUGCCGAUGGGCUUUUCAGAAGUACUUGGAUCAUGGGAUGCUUACUCCGUCAGUGAGGAGACCUGAUUUGGGAGGAGAUGGAGAGAGGAGGCAGGGGCUAGUUGAAGGGACUGGAUCAUGAAGGUGUGGCUUCAGGACUGUAUUAAGCCCUCAAGCGCCUUUCCCUGGCUCUCUCAUCCUCUCCACUUGCUGGCUGCCAUGCAGGGAGCUGUGGUCUUCUACCACACCCUUCUGCCAUGAUGUUUCUGCCUACAAGCAAUGGAGCUGGGCAGCCAUGGACCAAACCCCUGAAACUGUAAGUCAAAGUAACUCUUUCCUCCUUUAAAAUGUUUCUCUCACGGAUUUGGUCAUGAUAGCUAAAACUUAGUACCCAACCCGUAUCUCCAGAUUCACUGCCCAGCCCUUUCCGCUCUGCAUUCUAUGCAGGAGGUGAGGUGCAGCCCACCUCUGCUCUUGGGUUUGUCUAGUGACAAGGAGCUAGGGGGAGCCAGUGGACAGUCACCUCAGGACACAUGUGCUCCCCUCUGACUUUCUUCUCCCCUGCCAAAGCCAGACCUUUAUCUCUUCUUGGGGCUAGGAAGGUCUUCCUCUGGUUCAUGUUUAUUCUCCUAAAUCUUUUGUGUUUUCCAUUUGUUCUAAUAUUCUGUUGCUUCUUGCCUUCUUUUAUUUACUAUUUGUUUUUUUUUAUUGCUUGUACUUGGGAUUGAGCUCAGGGCUUUUGCACUGAACUACAUCCUCAGCCCUUUAUAAUUUUUUUUAAAUUUUGAGGCAGGAUCUUAUUAAAUCACUAAGUAGCCUAGGUUGGGAUUGAGCUUGCCAUUUUCCUGUCUCAGUCCCCCAGAGUGCUGGGAUUAAAGGUGGCAUCAUACUUAGCCCCAUUUCUGUUCAUCCAUGUUUUUAUUAGGUAUUGUAGCAUACAUGAUUAAUGUAUCAAAAUUUCAUAUAGUAACUAAAAUCUUUUCUUCUUUCCAGCAAGCAAUAGAAUUUUCAAGUAUUUUAGUUCCAGUUUUGUUGUGGUGUUUUUUUGUUUUUUUGUUUUUUUGUUUUUUGGCUUUUUGUACCAAGGAUCAAACUCAUGACCUCAUACUUACGCCACUGAGCUAAAUCCCCACCUCCCCCCACCUUUGUUUUUUUGGUACUAGAAAUUGAACUCAGGACCUUGCACUUGCCAGGGGUAGGAGAUAUGCAGCUGAGCUAUUUCCCUGGCCUAAGUUUUCCCUACUUUUAAUGUAUACAUUACAAGUGCAAAUGUUUUUAUUUUUUAAUCCCACAGGACUUUUUGAAUGACGGACUGAUUGUAGUACUAGGAAUUAAACCUAGGGUCUCACAUGUGCUAGGCAAGCCGAGCUACAUUCCCAGCCUUUACUUACUUGAAAUGUGGCAUCUACUUAUUUAGAUUUAUCAGUACUUUUACCACUUAUUUGCUCUUUAUUCUUUUGCAUCUUCUUGUUCUCAGAUCUAAAAUCUCCUUCCUUCUGAAGUAUAAAAUCUAGAAUUUCCUUUAUUGAGAUAGUAAACUGUUUUCAUCAUAAAAUACUUUUUUGUUUUCUUGGUACAGUUCCUCUCAUUAGAAGUUGGAGAUUACUUUCAGCACACUGAAAAUAUUCUGUAGCCUCUGGCACCCACCUUCUAUUGAGACUCCAGCUAUUAGAUUGUCACAAUUCUUAUUUCAUAAUAGGGAAACUGAGGUUCUUUGCAAAGUAACCUGUCAGCUCCUUGAAGAUACAGUGCCUGUUUUAUUUUCUGCAGUUGCAUUCCAGUGCUUUCUCCUUGCCUGUGGGGUUUACAGAUGUGAGUUGAUGCUCCUUUUCCCCCUAGAACAGGGAUGAUGAACCUUUCAGAGUGGCCAGCGCAGCCCUGGGGACUCAGUCAUGCUGCUCUGUCCAGCCUGGCCAACGGUGCAGGCGCAGAUGUUUCCAAGGACGGAACAAAGGCUAUCCUCACAGACAUGCCACCCCUCUGGCACGGGAGACCCCAUUUACGAUUUAUCAGUAAUAAUUCUCACCCAGGCUACCCCUUUGACCUACUCAUGCUGUUUUUCUUUCUCUGAUAUAAAAAUAACACUUAAACUGGAUCCCCAAGCCCACAUCAGCUCUCCAGAGACCGCAGCCAAACUCACCCUACGGUCAGGGUGCAGGGUCCUUAUUAUACACCCAGUCUGCCGGUGUGCCAAGAAAUAUGAAACCAUGGCCAGAGGCUAAAAUCAAUCACCCAAGAAGUACAUAUUACCCAACCGAGGCCAGCAUCUUCUGCUGAUUCACCUCACGGAAGGAGGUGGGUAGGGCCUGGGCAGACAGAAGAGCAAGUACGGGAGGCCAAUGAAAGGAGUGCCCGGACAGGGUCCCGGGGCAGAGUGCACCUUCAAAACUGGAAGAAAUCACUAUGGUUUUGUAGUGAGCAGCACUGAUGUUUGUCCCAGCUGAGGUCCACCUCUAGACUGGAAGGCAGCAGGUGAUGACUGAAAAGUUAGAGCCCUGCCUGCCUUGAGAGUGCCCUAACUGGAGAUCUGGGGGUGCAGGGAGCAGGUGGUGAGGUCAUAAUAAUAGUAACCUCUUACUGAGCAUAUAUUACAUGCCAGGCCUGUGCUGUCUGUAAAGUCUAGUGGUUAAGUUGUAAGCACUGAGCCCAGAAACCCUGGGCUUUAUAUUUGGCUCCUUCACUCUAGCUAUGAUAUUUUGAUCAAGUUACUUAAUCUAUUUAUGCCUCUGUUUUCUCAUCUGUACAACUGCAAUAAUAAAAAUAUUUUUCUCAUAAAGUUGCAAGGGAUUACAUGGGAUACAGCAUAUAAUAUGUCAUUAUUUGCAUAUGUAACUUCUCAAAGGGGAGGAAGGGGAAGGAAAGAGAAUCAUGGCAUGUUGUAUAUAUGUGCCAGCUUUCCACAGUGAAUCUGUUUAUUAGGUAAUCCAAACAUGUACAAGUAAAAAAUUUUUUUUGUCUUUUUGAGACAAGGUCUCACUAUGCAGUUCAGGCUGGCCUUGAGCUCACUUUGUAGCCCUGCUGGUCUCGAACUCACAACGAUCCUCCUGUCUUAGCCUCCAGAGUGCUGGGAUUACAGGUAUAAGCCAUCACGCCCGGCACAAGUGAAAUUUUUAAAAACGUAAUUUCUAGUCUUACUCUACUCUGGAUGGUAGAUCUAUUAAAUGGAGAAAGGUUUGAUGGCCAUAGCAAAGAUUCAACUUGUCUGCAGCUUCAGGACAGAAGUUUUCUCUCUAACACACUAGUCUGAAGGCAGACUGACCAGGAUGGAGUGUGGGGAGUGCUGCGGUUUGAAUGUGUCCUCCAAAGUUCAUAUAUUAGAGACACCCUCAAAGCUGCUGGGCAUGGUGGCAUGAGCCUAUAAUCCCAGCACUCGGAAGGCUGAGGCAGAAGGAUCUCUAUGAGUUCAAGGCUAACCUGGGCUACAGAAUGAGUUCAAGGCCAGCCAGCCUGAACUGCAUAGUGAGAUCUUGUCCCAAAAAGACAAAGAAAAAAAAAAAAAAGAAAUAUUCUCAUUGCAAAUGUUAACAGAGGAGGACUUUAAGAUGUAAUGAGAUCAUGAGGACUUUGCCCUCAGGAAUGGAUUAAUGCUGUUAUCGUGUGACAGGGUUGCUUAUCUCAAGAAUGGGUUUGUUACAAAAACAAGUUUGCUCUCUCACUUUCUUUCUCUCUCCCUUUCUUUCUUUCUUUCUUUCUUUCUUUCUUUCUUUCUUUCUUUCUUUCUUUCUUUCUUUCUUUUUUC